GACGAACGCUGGCGGCGUGCUUAACACAUGCAAGUCGAGCGGAAAGGCCCUGCUUUUGUGGCGUGCUCGAGUGGCGAACGGGCGAGUAACACACGAGUAACCUGCCCUUGCCUUAGGGCUAACUUCAGGAAACUAGGGCUAAUACCGGACAGGAGCUCCUGCUGCAUGGUGGGGGGUGGAAGGUUUCGGCGGUUGGGGCUGGACUCGCGGCUUAUCAGCUUGUUGGUGGGGUAGUGGCUUACCAAGGCUUUGACUGGUAGGCCGCCUUGGAGGGUGACCGGCGCCCUGGGGCCUGCGAGACGGCCCAGAAGCCUACGGUACGCAGCAGUCGGGAAUAUGGCGCAACGGGGCGAAGUCUGAUGCAGCGGCGCCGCGGGCGGGAUGACGGCUUUCGGGUUGUAAACCGCUUUCGCCUGUGCCGAAGCGGGAGUGACGGUAAUGGGUAAAGAAGCACCGGCUAACUACGUG
Molecule: ribosomal RNA, 468 nt
Filed under: uncultured bacterium
Lineage: Bacteria
Description: partial 16S ribosomal RNA
Rfam family: Bacterial small subunit ribosomal RNA
Source: RNAcentral